RNAcentral lists this ribosomal RNA (229 nucleotides) under uncultured bacterium. Its description in RNAcentral is "partial 16S rRNA". It matches the Rfam family "Bacterial small subunit ribosomal RNA", at positions 505 to 733 of the family's 1533-position model. The record is from RNAcentral.
GUGCCAGCAGCCGCGGUAAUACGUAGGUGGCAAGCGUUGUCCGGAAUUAUUGGGCGUAAAGCGCGCGCAGGUGGUUCCUUAAGUCUGAUGUGAAAGCCCACGGCUUCACCGUGGAGGGGCAUUGGAAACUGGGAGACUUGAGUGCAGAAGAGGAACGUGGAAUUCCAAGUGUAGCGGUGAAAUGCGUAGAGAUUUGGAGGAACACCAGUGGCGAAGGCGACUUGCUGGU